This 503-nucleotide ribosomal RNA is filed under the name uncultured bacterium. RNAcentral's name for it is "partial 16S ribosomal RNA". It matches the Rfam family "Bacterial small subunit ribosomal RNA", at positions 30 to 523 of the family's 1533-position model. The record is from RNAcentral.
AUUGAACGCUGGCGGCAGGCUUAACACAUGCAAGUCGAGCGGGGUGAUGGUGCUUGCACUAUCACUUAGCGGCGGACGGGUGAGUAAUGCUUAGGAAUCUGCCUAUUAGUGGGGGACAACAUCUCGAAAGGGAUGCUAAUACCGCAUACGUCCUACGGGAGAAAGCAGGGGAUCACUUGUGACCUUGCGCUAAUAGAUGAGCCUAAGUCGGAUUAGCUAGUUGGUGGGGUAGAGGCCUACCAAGGCGACGAUCUGUAGCGGGUCUGAGAGGAUGAUCCGCCACACUGGAACUGAGACACGGCUCAGGCUCCUACGGGAGGCAGCAGUGGGGAAUAUUGGACAAUGGGGGUAACCCUGAUCCAGCCAUGCCGCGUGUGUGAAGAAGGCCUUAUGGUUGUAAAGCACUUUAAGCGAGGAGGAGGCUCUUUUGGUUAAUACCCAAGAUGAGUGGACGUUACUCGCAGAAUAAGCACCGGCUAACUCUGUGCCAGCCGCCGCCGUAA